GGGGUCGUGGGCCAGUCUGGUCUACGCUGCGUGGCUUGGGCCCACGCGGACGUGGGUUCAAAUCCCACCGACCCCA
Molecule: transfer RNA, 76 nt
Filed under: Nitrososphaeria archaeon
Lineage: Archaea; Thermoproteati; Nitrososphaerota; Nitrososphaeria
Description: tRNA-Pro
Rfam family: tRNA
About the family: Transfer RNA (tRNA) molecules are approximately 80 nucleotides in length. Their secondary structure includes four short double-helical elements and three loops (D, anti-codon, and T loops).
Source: RNAcentral